RNAcentral lists this ribosomal RNA (1098 nucleotides) under Staphylococcus aureus. Its description in RNAcentral is "partial 23S ribosomal RNA". It matches the Rfam family "Bacterial large subunit ribosomal RNA", at positions 328 to 1434 of the family's 2925-position model. Lineage: Bacteria; Bacillati; Bacillota; Bacilli; Caryophanales; Staphylococcaceae. The record is from RNAcentral.
AUUAGACGAAUCAUCUGGAAAGAUGAAUCAAAGAAGGUAAUAAUCCUGUAGUCGAAAAUGUUGUCUCUCUUGAGUGGAUCCUGAGUACGACGGAGCACGUGAAAUUCCGUCGGAAUCUGGGAGGACCAUCUCCUAAGGCUAAAUACUCUCUAGUGACCGAUAGUGAACCAGUACCGUGAGGGAAAGGUGAAAAGCACCCCGGAAGGGGAGUGAAAUAGAACCUGAAACCGUGUGCUUACAAGUAGUCAGAGCCCGUUAAUGGGUGAUGGCGUGCCUUUUGUAGAAUGAACCGGCGAGUUACGAUUUGAUGCAAGGUUAAGCAGUAAAUGUGGAGCCGUAGCGAAAGCGAGUCUGAAUAGGGCGUUUAGUAUUUGGUCGUAGACCCGAAACCAGGUGAUCUACCCUUGGUCAGGUUGAAGUUCAGGUAACACUGAAUGGAGGACCGAACCGACUUACGUUGAAAAGUGAGCGGAUGAACUGAGGGUAGCGGAGAAAUUCCAAUCGAACCUGGAGAUAGCUGGUUCUCUCCGAAAUAGCUUUAGGGCUAGCCUCAAGUGAUGAUUAUUGGAGGUAGAGCACUGUUUGGACGAGGGGCCCCUCUCGGGUUACCGAAUUCAGACAAACUCCGAAUGCCAAUUAAUUUAACUUGGGAGUCAGAACAUGGGUGAUAAGGUCCGUGUUCGAAAGGGAAACAGCCCAGACCACCAGCUAAGGUCCCAAAAUAUAUGUUAAGUGGAAAAGGAUGUGGCGUUGCCCAGACAACUAGGAUGUUGGCUUAGAAGCAGCCAUCAUUUAAAGAGUGCGUAAUAGCUCACUAGUCGAGUGACACUGCGCCGAAAAUGUACCGGGGCUAAACAUAUUACCGAAGCUGUGGAUUGUCCUUUGGACAAUGGUAGGAGAGCGUUCUAAGGGCGUUGAAGCAUGAUCGUAAGGACAUGUGGAGCGCUUAGAAGUGAGAAUGCCGGUGUGAGUAGCGAAAGACGGGUGAGAAUCCCGUCCACCGAUUGACUAAGGUUUCCAGAGGAAGGCUCGUCCGCUCUGGGUUAGUCGGGUCCUAAGCUGAGGCCGACAGGCGUAGGCGAUGGAUAACAGGUUGAU